UUUUUUCCACUUGUUCUAUAUCUGAGACCAUCACAUCUUCACUCUCAAUUCCCAACAAUUAGAUCGUAGAUCUCUUUACCAAGGAUGUCAAUUAAUUCCGCAUAUUUAUUUCUUUGUUAACUAUUUCGGACAGUUGGAGGUCUCCUCUCGUUUGAGCUUAUAAAAGCUCGUUGCUUUGUUCUCAUUACACAAUUUCUAAGCAAUAAAAAGUUCAAGUUGGUCUUCUUCCAACAUUCAAGUCUUUGAGCAUUGUUUUGAGUCAAUAUUUUUGUGUGGUUUCCCCUUAAAUUUCUCUCACGAGUCUUGUAUCCAUAUAAACGUUUUUCCCUUUGAUAAAUUAAGCCGCGUUUAUCGGUUACUUAUCAUCUCAUCUCCACCAAAUCAAUACUUCUGUAACUCAUCAACCUCUAUAGCAUCAUCGUACCACCCCUUGAGGUAUGUAUUAUUAACUUGUUGGGAGCUAGGUAGCAGUGAAUACGGUGGGAGACAUUAUACAUUCCCCGAAGGGAUGACUUACUGGUUUCUCUAUCAAGCCUUAUUGUUUUUAUGGUUUCUGUAUUGAAGAUAGAUCUUUCCAUGAACUCGGA
Molecule: small RNA, 587 nt
Filed under: Arabidopsis thaliana (thale cress)
Lineage: Eukaryota; Viridiplantae; Streptophyta; Magnoliopsida; Brassicales; Brassicaceae
Description: putative long intergenic non-coding RNA
Source: RNAcentral